GACGAACGCUGGCGGCGUGCCUAACACAUGCAAGUCGAGCGAGUGAAUCUCCUUCGGGAGUGAAACUAGUGGCGGACGGGUGAGUAACACGUGGGUAACCUGCCUCAUAGAGGGGAAUAGCCUUUCGAAAGGAAGAUUAAUACCGCAUAAGAUUGUAGUACCGCAUGGUGCAGCAAUUAAAGGAGUAAUCCGCUAUGAGAUGGACCCGCGUCGCAUUAGCUAGUUGGUGAGGUAACGGCUCACCAAGGCGACGAUGCGUAGCCGACCUGAGAGGGUGAUCGGCCACAUUGGGACUGAGACACGGCCCAGACUCCUACGGGAGGCAGCAGUGGGGAAUAUUGCACAAUGGGGGAAACCCUGAUGCAGCAACGCCGCGUGAGUGAUGACGGUCUUCGGAUUGUAAAGCUCUGUCUUCAGGGACGAUAAUGACGGUACCUGAGGAGGAAGCCACGGCUAACUACGUGCCAGCCGCCGCCGUAA
RNAcentral lists this ribosomal RNA (480 nucleotides) under uncultured bacterium. RNAcentral's name for it is "partial 16S ribosomal RNA". It matches the Rfam family "Bacterial small subunit ribosomal RNA", at positions 28 to 523 of the family's 1533-position model. The record is from RNAcentral.